GCCUUCGUGGUGUAACGGUAGCACACUCGGCGCGUAUUCUAGAGGUCCGGGUUCGAGUCCCAGUGAGUGCA
Molecule: transfer RNA, 71 nt
Filed under: Stegodyphus mimosarum
Lineage: Eukaryota; Metazoa; Arthropoda; Arachnida; Araneae; Eresidae
Rfam family: tRNA
About the family: Transfer RNA (tRNA) molecules are approximately 80 nucleotides in length. Their secondary structure includes four short double-helical elements and three loops (D, anti-codon, and T loops).
Source: Rfam by way of RNAcentral